GCCUCCUGCCUCUGUCUCCCUCCCUCCGUGUCCAUCCAGGUCUCUCUCACCCACGCAGAGGCUCAGCGGAAGGAAAAACGGCUCGGAGAGAGCCAGGAGGAAGCAGCAUGGUGAGCAGAGAGCCUUCUUGGGGAAGGGAUCCUCUCCGCUCACCAAGACAAUAACAACGGCCUGAUCUAGAAACUUCCUGGAGACUUUUCACCUCGGGAACCAGAGAAACCUGGCCUUUCCCGCGUCCCUGCUCCAGUUUGUUCCCUUUGACUCCUUCAGAAGAAGAGAAGAAGAAAGAAACUGGAUAACUGCUGGACUUUUCUACCAAGAGAUGGGAAAAGACUUUCUAAAAGAGAAAAAAAAAAUUCCCUAGGCAAAAAAAAAAAAAAAAAAAAAAAGUCAACAACAAUAUUAUUCUCUAGCUGGGUAUCUUACCCCUGUUUAUUAAAGUUCUUUGGGGCAAAA
Pipistrellus kuhlii (Kuhl's pipistrelle) is the source of this 456-nucleotide long non-coding RNA. RefSeq lists it as uncharacterized. The record is from RefSeq and is a predicted model, not a curated record. The transcript has 2 exons. NCBI's taxonomy places the organism in Eukaryota, Metazoa, Chordata, Mammalia, Chiroptera, Vespertilionidae.